UGUUUUUUCGCAUUCUAAGGGGAUACCAGUCAGAAAGGUUUUAAGGCUGUCUAUGAAAUCCGCAAAGGUGGUGACUUGUAAUUCACAGUCAGAUUCCUGAAGGGAAUGAAAAAAAAAAAACAACAGCACUUGAGUCCAGGGCUUCUUUGCUGUCUCCCCAGAACCUAGAAACUAUGCCAAGCCCAUACAGUCAGACUGCUACAUCCCAGUAAGGGUGCUGCCAAGUCCCUCAUGGUCCCCUUGGGAAGCAUCAGCCCCCACGGUCCUGGAUGCAGAGCUGCGGACUCAGACCAGUCGUCUCCAGACCUGGCCGCUGUGCUUCAAAACUACUUUCGUUCUUUGUGCCCGACCUUCAUCUUCAUGACCGGAUGGAGACCUCUGCAGGUCACUGCGGAGAUGCCUGGAGACACCUAGAGGUGCUUCUUAAAUAUUAGCCAAGAGCUAAGUGUAUGAAGAUUUUCUGCUUGGGUUUUCAGUUUGGACUCGUUGGGAGGCCUCCAUUCCAGCCUCAGUUUCCCAAACGGUCAAAGAAAAA
RNAcentral lists this long non-coding RNA (535 nucleotides) under Mus pahari (shrew mouse). RNAcentral describes it as "lncRNA (MGP_PahariEiJ_G0002528.1)". Lineage: Eukaryota; Metazoa; Chordata; Mammalia; Rodentia; Muridae. The record is from RNAcentral.